GGGAAUAGGAGACUUGAUAUUUAAGCAGCUUGAAUGGUUUCUUUUCUUUUCUUUAUUUUUAAAGAAAUGCACUUGCCUAUGAUACUGUCUCUCCAGUGAAAUGAUUACUCCUCCAUUACUCUAUUGAUACAAUAUUGUGCAUGCUAGUGUUGUAUUUCUAUACAGUAGCUUGAAAUUUAUUAACUUAUACUGUAGGUGUUAUGUAUUCCUAUGACAAAAAAAAAUUAAGUCUUCCAUGGUGAAAUUAUAACUAUUACAGUGUAGGAGAACACUGAAUAUGUUCUCUGAAUGAGCCUUUGUGCUUUUUGUCAUGUUAUGCAGUGAACUAUUUUUAAGGUCUAAUCAGUGGUUCUUUUUUUCCAACUCCGUGUUUCUCUAAGGAAUUCUUUCACACACGGACCAUUCUUAGCAGUUUUCCUCAGUGAUGGAAUAUCAUG
This 437-nucleotide long non-coding RNA is filed under the name Bos taurus (domestic cattle). RNAcentral's name for it is "long non-coding RNA NONBTAT015756". Lineage: Eukaryota; Metazoa; Chordata; Mammalia; Artiodactyla; Bovidae. The record is from RNAcentral.